Molecule: ribosomal RNA, 492 nt
Filed under: uncultured bacterium
Lineage: Bacteria
Description: partial 16S ribosomal RNA
Rfam family: Bacterial small subunit ribosomal RNA
Source: RNAcentral
AGUGAACGCUGGCGGCAGGCCUAACACAUGCAAGUCGAACGGCAGCACAGUAAGAGCUUGCUCUUACGGGUGGCGAGUGGCGGACGGGUGAGGCAUACAUCGGAAUCUACUUUUUCGUGGGGGAUAACGUAGGGAAACUUACGCUAAUACCGCAUACGACCUACGGGUGAAAGCAGGGGAUCUUCGGACCUUGCGCGAUUGAAUGAGCCGAUGUCGGAUUAGCUAGUUGGCGGGGUAACGUCCCACCAAGGCGACGAUGCGUAGCUGGUCUGAGAGGAUGAUCAGCCACACUGGAACUGAGACACGGUCCAGACUCCUACGGGAGGCAGCAGUGGGGAAUAUUGGACAAUGGGCGCAAGCCUGAUCCAGCCAUACCGCGUGGGUGAAGAAGGCCUUCGGGUUGUAAAGCCCUUUUGUUGGGAAAGAAAAGCAGCAGGUUAAUACCCCGCUGUUCUGACGGUACCCAAAGAAUAAGCCCCGGCUAACUUCGUG